This 612-nucleotide ribosomal RNA is filed under the name uncultured bacterium. Its description in RNAcentral is "bacterial SSU rRNA". The stretch from base 1 to 535 matches the Rfam family "Bacterial small subunit ribosomal RNA", at positions 338 to 873 of the family's 1533-position model. The record is from RNAcentral.
CCUACGGAGGCAGCAGUAAGGAAUAUUGGACAAUGCUCGCAAGAGUGAUCCAGCCAUGCCGCGUGCAGGAAGAAUGCCCUAUGGGUAGUAAACUGCUUUUGAACUAGAGAAAACCCCAGUACGUGUACUGGGCUGAUAGUAUAGUUAGAAUAAGCAUCGGCUAACUUCGUGCCAGCAGCCGCGGUAAGACGAAGGAUGCAAGCGUUAUCCGGAUUCAUUGGGUUUAAAGGGAGCGUAGGUGGACUGAUAAGUCAGUGGUGAAAUCUCCGAGCUUAACUCGGAAAUUGCCAUUGAUACUGUUGGUCUUGAGUACAGUUGCUGUGGGCGGAAUAUGACAUGUAGUGGUGAAAUACAUAGAGAUGUCAUAGAACACCGAUUGCGAAGGCAGCUCACAAAGCUGUAACUGACACUGAGGCUCGAAAGUGCGGGGAUCAAACAGGAUUAGAUACCCUGGUAGUCCGCACCGUAAACGAUGAUUACUCGCUGCUAGGGGGCAACCUUUAGUGGCUUAGCGAAAGCGANAAGUAAUCCCACCGUGGAGGUACGCCGGCGACGUAGAAGUACGAAGAAGUUAGACGCGNGAGAGNGCGACGGCGACGACGAGGGAGGAGG